CCUACGGGUGGCAGCAGUGGGGGAUAUUGCACAAUGGGGGAAACCCUGAUGCAGCGACGCCGCGUGAGUGAAGAAGUAUUUCGGUAUGUAAAGCUCUAUCAGCAGGGAAGAAACUGACAGUACCUGACAAAGAAGCCCCGGCUAACUACGUGCCAGCAGCCGCGGUAAUACGUAGGGGGCAAGCGUUAUCCGGCGUUACUGGGUGUAAAGGGAGCGUAGACGGUGAUGUAAGGCUGGAGUGAAAGCCCGGGGCCCAACCCCGGGACUGCUUUGGAAACUGUGGAGCUGGAGUGCAGGAGGGGCAAGUGGAAUGCCUGGUGUAGCGGUGAAAUGCGUAGAUAUCAGGAGGAACACCAGCGGCGAAGGCGGCCUGCUGGACUGAAACUGACGUUGAGGCUCGAAAGCGUGGGGAGCAAACAGGAUUAGAUACCCGGGUAGUC
This 440-nucleotide ribosomal RNA is filed under the name uncultured bacterium. Its description in RNAcentral is "partial 16S ribosomal RNA". It matches the Rfam family "Bacterial small subunit ribosomal RNA", at positions 338 to 795 of the family's 1533-position model. The record is from RNAcentral.